UUAGGGUCUUACCGAAGGGUCUCUUGGUGUGGUCCAGGCAGGAGAGGUGGAAGGGUCAGGGGUUAGGGUCUUACCGAAGGGUCUCUUGGUGUGGUCCAGGCAGGAGAGGUGGAAGGGUCAGGGGUUAGGGUCUUACCGAAGGGUCUCUUGGUGUGGUCCAGGCAGGAGAGGUGGAAGGGUCAGGGGUUAGGGGGUUAGGGUCUUACCGAAGGGUCUCAUGGUGUGGUCCAGGCAGGAGAGGUGGAAGGGUCAGGGGUUAGGGGGUUAGGGUCUUACCGAAGGGUCUCUUGGUGUGGACCAGGCAGGAGAGGUGGAAGGGUCAGGGGUUAGGGUCUUACCGAAGGGUCUCUUGGUGUGGUCCAGGCAGGAGAGGUGGAAGGGUCAGGGGUUAGGGUCUUACCGAAGGGUCUCUUGGUGUGGUCCAGGCAGGAGAGGUGGAAGGGUCAGGGGUUAGGGUCUUACCGAAGGGUCUCUUGGUGUGGUCCAGGCAGGAGAGGUGGAAGGGUCAGGGGUUAGGGGGUUAGGGUCUUACCGAAGGGUCUCUUGGUGUGGUCCAGGCAGGAGAGGUGGAAGGGUCAGGGGUUAGGGUCUUACCGAAGGGUCUCAUGGUGUGGUCCAGGCAGGAGAGGUGGAAGGGUCAGGGGUUAGGGGGUUAGGGUCUUACCGAAUUGUCUC
Long non-coding RNA from Oncorhynchus keta (chum salmon), 675 nucleotides. RefSeq lists it as uncharacterized. The transcript is spliced from 4 exons. Lineage: Eukaryota; Metazoa; Chordata; Actinopteri; Salmoniformes; Salmonidae. The record is from RefSeq and is a predicted model, not a curated record.